CUGAUGCAGCAACGCCGCGUGAGGGACGAAGGCCUUCGGGUUGUAAACCUCUUUUAGUAGGGAAGAAGCGAAAGUGACGGUACCUGCAGAAAAAGCACCGGCUAACUACGUGCCAGCAGCCGCGGUAAUACGUAGGGUGCAAGCGUUGUCCGGAAUUAUUGGGCGUAAAGAGCUCGUAGGCGGUUUGUCGCGUCUGCUGUGAAAACUGGAGGCUCAACCUCCAGCCUGCAGUGGGUACGGGCAGACUAGAGUGCGGUAGGGGAGAUUGGAAUUCCUGGUGUAGCGGUGGAAUGCGCAGAUAUCAGGAGGAACACCGAUGGCGAAGGCAGAUCUCUGGGCCGUAACUGACGCUGAGGAGCGAAAGCAUGGGGAGCGAACAGGAUUAGAUACCCUGGUAGUCCAUGCCGUAAACGUUGGGAACUAGAUGUAGGGGCCAUUCCACGGUUUCUGUGUCGCAGCUAACGCAUUAAGUUCCCCGCCUGGGGAGUACGGCCGCAAGGCUAAAACUCAAAGGAAUUGACGGGGGCCCGCACAAGCGGCGGAGCAUGCGGAUUAAUUCGAUGCAACGCGAAGAACCUUACCAAGGCUUGACAUAUACCGGAAACGGCUAGAGAUAGUCGCCCCGCAAGGUCG
This 633-nucleotide ribosomal RNA is filed under the name Microbacteriaceae bacterium Se1Pt_1544. RNAcentral describes it as "bacterial SSU rRNA". It matches the Rfam family "Bacterial small subunit ribosomal RNA", at positions 383 to 1029 of the family's 1533-position model. The record is from RNAcentral. RNAcentral also lists the same sequence under 2 other names. Lineage: Bacteria; Bacillati; Actinomycetota; Actinomycetes; Micrococcales; Microbacteriaceae.